CGGCUCCGCCGCCUGCCUGCCGUGCGACCUCGAGCGAGUCACUUCACUUCUCUGGGCCUCAGUUCCCUCCCAUCUGACAAAUGGGGAUGAAGACCGGGAGCCCCACGGGGGACGGGGACCGGGUCCAACCCGAUCAACCCGUCUCUACCCCAGUGGUUAGGACAGCGCCUGGAACCUAGCAGGUGUUUAACCGACACCAUGAAAUAAGUCACUUCUCUGUGCCUCAGUUCCCUCAUCUGUAAAAUGGGGAUUAAGACUGUGAGCCCUACAUGGGACAACCCGAUUCCCCUGUAUCUCCCCCAGCGCUUAGAACAGUGUUGUGCACAGAGUAAGCGCUUUACGAAUACCAACAUUAUUAUUAUUCAUAAUAAACAGCGGUGGUCUAGUGGAUCGAGAGCUGGCUUGGGAGUCAGAAGGCCCUGGGUUCUAAUCCCGGCUCCGCCACUUAUCUGCCGGGUGACCUCGGGUUAGUCACUUGUCAGCUGUGGGACUGUGGGCAAGUCACUUCACUUCUCAGUGCCUCAGUUCCCUCGUCUGGAAAAUGGGGAUGAAGACUGGGAGCCUCACGUGGGACCACCUGAUUCCCCCGUCUCUCCCCGGCGUCCUCUAGAACGGUGCUCGGCCAAUAGUAAGCGCUUAAACCGAUACCAACGUUAUCAUUCUCCCCUGGGCCUCAGUUCCCUCAUCCGGAGAAAGGAGACGAAGACCGCGAGGCCCACGUGGUUCAGGGGCCGUGUCCAACCCGCUCAGCCCCUGCCUAAUUCCGGCGCUCAGGACAGUGCCCGGCCCAUAGCGAGCGCUUACCAGGUACCAUUUAAAAAUGGGGGCGAGGGGGGGGGGGUUCGGGCGGUCCCCGAUCACCGAGAAGACCCUCUCCGGAUGCCCCUUGGCCCUCAUGUUGGUGUCCGUGCACCUGCUUCAGGACCAUCCAAGCUUCGUUCGUGCUUCCCGUUCUGGGGGCGCGGAGACAGCCCUCAACACCCCCGCACCGGCGCCGGAGACCGCGGGGUCGGACGCCGCUGCGCGCCCCCUCCGCCCGUGGGCCCCCCGGCGCCCCCCACCUCGAGGAAGAAGCGGGGCUCUCGGGCUGGGUGGUUGAGGGCGCCGAUGGCGAACACGCGACGGAAAGGCACACACCAAGACGAAGACGCGCCAGCUGUGGAACUGGAACUCGGAGAAAUAGGAGAAGACGAUGGGGAUGGAGCCCCCGAUCCUGGCGGGGAGGAGGAGGAGGAGGGUGUCAGUGGUCAUAGGUCAAGAUCUCAGACAGCUCCCAACGCUGCCAACCCCGGAAGGCUUUCUCCGCUCCCAGGGUCCAGGAUGCUACAUCCCGUCCCCCCCGGCCUGGAGGUGGUCCGGAAAAGGUCGAGAAGUCACCCUGCCCUGCCCACGGUGUCCUGCCCGAGGGUCCAAUGACUACAGUCCGUGCUCCACCUCCGUUCCUUCCGUCAGGUUCCCCUGGGCCGGAGGAGGAAGGGGCCGGAUUCUCCCGGAUGGGAAGGGGUUUCGGGUCGGGCUGCCUCGGGAAGGGAAGGGGCGGGAGUCUGAGGAGGAGCGGGGAGGGGGCGGGGAGAGGAGGGGUCUGCCUAGGGACCGGUGAGGCGGGGGUCUGCAGAGGGGGGUGGGUGCGGGUCUGUAGAAGGGGGGGGCGGUCCGCCCAGGGUCCCGGGGUGGGGGACGGCGGGGCGGGGGGGUCCUGACCCGACGCCGGAGAGCAGGCGGCAGAGCAGGAAGGUGCCGUAGCCCUGGACGAACGAGGAGAAGAAGGCGAAGACCCCGUUGACGGAGAGCGCCAUGAGCAGGCACUGGCGGCGGCCCAGCCGGUCUGCCAGGCCCCCCCAGACGAACGCCCCCACCAUCAUGCCCAGGUACACGAUCAGUCCUGGGGAGGGGGAGAACGGGGCGGGGGAGGGGGUCAGAGGGGCCCCCUCCCUCCCAACGCUUCCCCGGCCCUUCCGCGGCUCCGGAGACGGCAGCGGGCGGGAGCGAGGUUAGACCUGGAGAGGGGCCGGGCCCGCGGGGCACGGAAAGGGGGUGGAGCCAGACCUCCUCUAGGGAGCCCCCUCCCCUCGCUGCCCGGGAGAGUGCAGAGUUUUGGGGGGGGGCCGGCUACCCCAGCUGGAGGACACCCCCCCCCCCCCAAGACUUUCAGCUCGUUGCAGGCAGGGAAUGUGGCGGUUUAACUGUUGUGUUGAUUCUCCCGAGCGUUUAGUCCGGGGCUCCGCACCCAGUGCGGCGCUCAGUGGGUGCGGCCCAACGAACGACCCGGAUGAGGUGACCGAGGCCCAGGGAGGUCAAGCGACUCGCCCCGAAUCGCACGGCCGAUAAGCGGCGGGGCCGGGAUUAGAACCCACGACCAGCUGACUCCCGAGCCCGUGAUCAGAGAGCAGCGUGGCCGCGGUGGGUAGAGCCCGGCCCGGGAGUCAGAAGGACCCGCUUCCCUGACGGCGGUCCCCAGGUUGUCCCCUGUGAGACCUCGGGCCAGCCGCUUCACUUCUCUGGGCCUCGGUUUCCUCACCUGCGCGACGGGGACCAAGACGGCGCGCACCGCGCCCCCCGCCCCCCCCCCAGCUGGGACACGGACUGGGGUCCGACCCAAUCACCGCGCAUCUACCCGCAAGCGCUCGGUAAAGAACCCGCAGCUACGCAAAAGAUUUCUGGGAAACUCCUCCGUGCCUCAGUCCGUCAGGCAGUGGUAUUUAUUGAGCGCUUGCUGUGGGCCGAGCACUGGGCUAAGCACUCGGGAGAGCCACGAAAGAAAAUAAACAGCCACGUUCCCCGCCUCCGUGAGCUUAAAGUCUGGGGGGGCCGCCUAGCACGUGCAGAUCGCUGUACUGAGCGCUCGGGAGGGUCCAAAACAAUAAAGCAGACACAUUCCCUGCCCAUCCCGAGUCUAGAGGGGGAGCAUUUACCCAGCGCUUAGAACGGUGCUCGGCAUAUAGUAAGCGCCUAACAAAUACAACGUUGUUAGUAAUGACGACAGUGUCGGUAUUUG
This 2995-nucleotide long non-coding RNA is filed under the name Ornithorhynchus anatinus (platypus). RNAcentral describes it as "lncRNA (ENSOANG00000042572.1)". Lineage: Eukaryota; Metazoa; Chordata; Mammalia; Monotremata; Ornithorhynchidae. The record is from RNAcentral.